UACGUAGGUGGCAAGCGUUGUCCGGAAUUACUGGGCGUAAAGCGCACGUAGGCGGCUUUGUUAGUCAGGGGUGAAAUCCCGAGGCUCAACCUCGGAACUGCCUUUGAUACUGCAAAUCUCGAGUCCGGAAGAGGUGAGUGGAAUUCCUAGUGUAGAGGUGAAAUUCGUAGAUAUUAGGAAGAACACCAGUGGCGAAGGCGGCUCACUGGUCCGGUACUGACGCUGAGGUACGAAAGCGUGGGGAGCAAACAGG
RNAcentral lists this ribosomal RNA (253 nucleotides) under uncultured bacterium. RNAcentral describes it as "partial 16S ribosomal RNA". It matches the Rfam family "Bacterial small subunit ribosomal RNA", at positions 524 to 776 of the family's 1533-position model. The record is from RNAcentral.